RNAcentral lists this long non-coding RNA (1357 nucleotides) under Equus caballus (horse). RNAcentral's name for it is "lncRNA (ENSECAG00000029721.2)". The record is from RNAcentral. Lineage: Eukaryota; Metazoa; Chordata; Mammalia; Perissodactyla; Equidae.
CCUAGCUACUUAAUCAUCAAUAGCUAACUGUUUGCCACCGGACGUCAGCACUGGCAGAGCAGGAAGCGCUCAUUCCAUCCUGCUCCCCUUUCUAGAGACGUAAGACUCAGAAAGUGAAGUGGUUGAGCUGGGCUCCAUCUCCUACCCUCCUCGCUGCCGCUCCUUGCGCUACACCACACUUCUCUCUGCUUCUUGCAAACUCGCUGAGUCUACUGGCAGCCACUCUAACAGGUUUACAAUUGGCAAAGCUAUUGGGAGGGGAGCUUCACUGUUUAGUUGCAAACUAAGGGCUUCCUCAGUUCCAGUCUCCCUAGUCAAGCAGUCACUGUCACAGGCAGGUCAUCAUACCACCACGGAGUAGCUGACAGACCUUCUGUUUUGGAGAAGGAGAUUGCAUCACCAACCAGCUUCUGUGUCUUCGGUAUUCUUGACUACAGGAUGAGCCAAACAGUUAAGUUCAGAUUGGCUGUACCACAAUGUGGUCAUUUUGCUCAUCUGAACAUGGCUUACACCAAAAGAAACUAUCCUGCGCACAUAGCUGUUUCUCUCCUCCUUCUUUAUGACACAGAAGGUUUCUGGAGAGUGGAGCUAAGCCACACCCACCCUCCAGUCCUGCAUCCAGUCAACAAAUGCCAAGGACGUCUCUGUGGAACAUCAGGAAAACCUCUAACCAUGAAGCAUGAGAAUUAUGGGGACACAGAAUAUGGUGUGUAUCCGCCUAGGCAUGUGCUUGGAGAGAACCGUGGUGAAACUCCCCGGGACAUCAAUGUUUCUACAGAUGUUUUGCACAAAACUAAACAUUUGAACUGCUUCAGUGAAAAGCACCGCAAGGUGACUGAGUAGAAAAGCCGCGGUCUCUGACGUUUGUGGAUGGAGGGGUCAAGAAGUCCACCAGGCGUGGAGAAGACGAGCCUUUUCCAUGGACUCCACCACACAGGCCCUAGUGGAACGCAUGAAACGCAUGGCGACCCCGGGUGGUCAUCACUGCAGCCCGUUUCAGAGACAGAACCUUAGCCCGAAAGUGUGGACACAGUUCCUCUGCUCCCGCUCCCUGGCAGUUCCCAUUGACUGGGAGAGAAGCUGUCUAAUGGAUACAGUUUGGCCUUCCAUCUUCAACAGUCGUUGCGGCUUGCAAAUUUUAGUCUGAAUGACUAUGGUUAUUCAGUCCUUAGGCGCUCAGAGCCCCUCCCUUUUGCCCCACCCCCAGCCGCAGCUCGGAAACCUCCCUCCCUCGCCCCGUCUUCCAGGAAGCUUCUCCCACUGCCAGUGCUAUCCAGUGUCACUUAAUUUUAUUACUUUUAAUAAAAGUAUUCUAAAAAUAUAUUUCUAAAAGCGAAUUAACUUUUCUAGCUUUGUA